This 427-nucleotide ribosomal RNA is filed under the name uncultured prokaryote. Its description in RNAcentral is "bacterial SSU rRNA". It matches the Rfam family "Bacterial small subunit ribosomal RNA", at positions 355 to 796 of the family's 1533-position model. The record is from RNAcentral.
UUAGGAAUAUUGCGCAAUGGGGGAAACCCUGACGCAGCAACGCCGCGUGAGUGAGGAAGGCCUUCGGGUUGUAAAGCUCUUUUAGCAGGGAAGAAAUCACUGACGGUACCUGCAGAAGAAGCACCGGCUAACUCCGUGCCAGCAGCCGCGGUAAUACGGAGGGUGCAAGCGUUAUUCGGAAUUACUGGGCGUAAAGCGCACGUAGGCGGUUUACUAAGUCUGAUGUGAAAUCCCACGACUCAAUCGUGGAAGUGCGUUGGAUACUGGUGGACUGGAGUGUUGGAGGGGAGAAGGGAAUUCCUGGUGUAGAGGUGAAAUUCGUAGAUAUCAGGAGGAACAACGGAGGCGAAGGCGCUUCUCUGGACAACAACUGACGCUGAGGUGCGAAAGCGUGGGGAGCGAACAGGAUUAGAUACCCCCGUAGUCC